UACAGAGGUCUCAAGCGUUGUUCGGAUUCAUUGGGCGUAAAGGGUGCGUAGGCGGCGCGGUAAGUCGGGUGUGAAAUUUCGAGGCUUAACUUCGAAACUGCAUUCGAUACUGCCGUGCUUGAGGACUGGAGAGAAGACUGGAAUUUACGGUGUAGCGGUGAAAUGCGUAGAUAUCGUAAGGAAGACCAGUGGCGAAGGCGGGUCUCUGGACAGUUCCUGACGCUGAGGCACGAAGGCCAGGGGAGCAAACGGG
Molecule: ribosomal RNA, 253 nt
Filed under: uncultured bacterium
Lineage: Bacteria
Description: partial 16S ribosomal RNA
Rfam family: Bacterial small subunit ribosomal RNA
Source: RNAcentral